CAUGCAAGUCGUACGAGAAAUCCUGGGCAACUGGGAAAGUAAAGUGGCGCACGGGUGAGUAACGCGUGGGUAAUCUACCCGGUAGUGGGGGAUAACCCUCCGAAAGGAGGGCUAAUACCGCAUAAUAUCUCCUCCUCAGAAGAGAUAGAGAUUAAAGGUAGCCUCUGUAUAUGCUAUCGCUUCCGGAUGAGCCUGCGUCCUAUUAGUUAGUUGGUAGGGUAAUGGCCUACCAAGACUACAAUGGGUAGCCGGUCUGAGAGGAUGUACGGCCACACUGGGACUGAGAUACGGCCCAGACUCCUACGGGAGGCAGCAGUGGGGAAUCUUGCGCAAUGGGGGAAACCCUGACGCAGCGACGCCGCGUGGAUGAUGAAGGCCUUCGGGUUGUAAAGUCCUGUUUUGGGGGAAGAAACCUUAAGGGUCCAAUAAACCCUUGAAGCUGACGG
Molecule: ribosomal RNA, 446 nt
Filed under: uncultured bacterium
Lineage: Bacteria
Description: bacterial SSU rRNA
Rfam family: Bacterial small subunit ribosomal RNA
Source: RNAcentral